Phyllostomus discolor (pale spear-nosed bat) is the source of this 97-nucleotide long non-coding RNA. RefSeq lists it as uncharacterized. The transcript has 3 exons. The record is from RefSeq and is a predicted model, not a curated record. Lineage: Eukaryota; Metazoa; Chordata; Mammalia; Chiroptera; Phyllostomidae.
AAAUCCAGGUAUAACUUUUUAGUCCCCCCAAAACUUAACCACAAAUAGCCUACCAUUGACUGGAAGCCUUACUGAUAACAUAAACAGUUGCUCAACA